This is a non-coding RNA of Macaca mulatta (Rhesus monkey), 826 nucleotides long. NCBI's taxonomy places the organism in Eukaryota, Metazoa, Chordata, Mammalia, Primates, Cercopithecidae. The record is from RefSeq and is a predicted model, not a curated record.
GACUGGAUGUCAAUCAUUCAGGCUGGGCGGGCGGGGCUGAGAGAGGUCGGUGAGAGCGGCCUUAGCAACCGCUUAUGAGCUGUAAAGACUUGGGUUGGGCGGGGCUGUGGGAGGUGACGCCGGGAGGUCCCGGCUGAGAGUGCCGGCUGGGGAUAUGACAUCUAACUACCAUACAAGUUCAGAUCAAUGGAAGAAAAGAGCAGCAAAAAUUGAACGGAAUGAAUCCCAAAAGCAAGAAAUUAAAGAUGCCUUUAAUUUAUUUGAUGUCGAUAGGUCUGGAACCAUCGAUGUAAAAGAAGGAAAUGCUUGAUGAAGCUGAUCAUGAUGGAGAUGGAAAAAUAAAUGAGGAAGAAUUUUCGAGAGUGAUGAAAAAGACUACUCUUUAUUAAUAGUGUUGUUUUGGUCCUUGUGGAAAAUUAACAAAUUUGUGUUUGUUAUAUAGUUUUGUACUUUAAUAUCUGAAUGUAUUCAUUUUAAGUUUUUAGUUUAUAUGUACACAUUGGCUUCUUGAUGUCUAAUCCAUGUAAGAAGUUACACAUCUCUACCAGUAUGUUGUUAAAUCUACAGCAUCAAGAAACAAAACAUAAUGACUUCUUUGAACCAUUAAUGCAAGAACAGUAUUAAUUCUACCUGCUCUUUUGAGAACCCUAGGUCACAAGGAGUUAGAAUUUUUAAGUUUGAUGAAGUUGGCUUCAUAUCCAAAUGAAUUUGGCAAACAAACCCUGUAUUUUCCUUUUGUGCAACUCAAAAAAACCUGAUGAACAUUUGCUUUUUAGUCAGUUACUCAAAUACAUAAAGUAUUAAAUAGAACUGUCUGGAAACAUUA